This 406-nucleotide ribosomal RNA is filed under the name uncultured bacterium. RNAcentral describes it as "partial 16S ribosomal RNA". It matches the Rfam family "Bacterial small subunit ribosomal RNA", at positions 30 to 526 of the family's 1533-position model. The record is from RNAcentral.
AUUGAACGCUGGCGGCAGGCCUCACACAUGCAAGUCGAACGAGCGGCGGACGGGUGAGUAAUGUCUGGGAAACUGCCCCAUGGAGGGGGAUAACUACUGGAAACGGUAGCUAAUACCGCAUACUAUCGGAUGUGCCCAGAUGGGAGUAGCUAGUAGGUGGGGUAACGGCUCACCUAGGCGACGAGCCCUAGCUGGUCUGAGAGGAGGACCAGCAACACUGGAACUGAGACACGGUCCAGACUCCUACGGGAGGCAGCAGUGGGGAAUAUUGCACAAUGGGCGCAAGCCUGAUGCAGCCAUGCCGCGUGUAUGAAGAAGGCCUUCGGGUUGUAAAGUACUUUCAGCGGGGAGGCGUUACCCGCAGAAGAAGCACCGGCUAACUCCGUGCCAGCAGCCGCGGUAAUUC